Molecule: transfer RNA, 72 nt
Filed under: Capra hircus (goat)
Lineage: Eukaryota; Metazoa; Chordata; Mammalia; Artiodactyla; Bovidae
Also listed under: 1 other name
Rfam family: tRNA
About the family: Transfer RNA (tRNA) molecules are approximately 80 nucleotides in length. Their secondary structure includes four short double-helical elements and three loops (D, anti-codon, and T loops).
Source: Rfam by way of RNAcentral
UCCCUGGUGGCUCAGAUGGUAAAGAAUCUGACUGCAAUGCAGGAGAUCUAGGUUCGAACCCUGGCUCAGGAA